Lycium barbarum (goji berry) is the source of this 1171-nucleotide long non-coding RNA. RefSeq lists it as uncharacterized. The transcript is spliced from 3 exons. The record is from RefSeq and is a predicted model, not a curated record. NCBI's taxonomy places the organism in Eukaryota, Viridiplantae, Streptophyta, Magnoliopsida, Solanales, Solanaceae.
AUCUCAAGUCUCUCUUGUAGGUCUAAUAACUAUUAGGCAAUUAUGUCAUAUAAUUUCCAAGAAAAUGGGAGAAGGUAAUAGUACCAUCUUUGCGUAUCCAAUGAAAGGAAGAAGUUUCACCCAAGAAUUAAGUCUCAUUUAAGGAAGGGUCACGUGAGAAAUAAACUCUCUGUUAGAGGUGGAUGGAAUAUUUAAUAGAGGGAUGAUUUUGGUCAAAAGCUAUAUUAAAGACACAUUUCCUGUGUAUGAUAACACGUGUCUUCAAUACACCAUCCAUCCAUGUUUACUUGAAUAGUAUGAUCUUCUCAUAUUCUCUCUUUUCAUCCAGAAGCUGCUAUCGCUCGAUUUCUUACUCUCUUCAGAAGAUUUUCUGGUUUACAUACUUCUUCAUCCUAAGGGUACAAAUCAUUUUGUAGUGGCGAUGACCCCAUCGAAGUGUAAUGAUAUGGCCUGGUAAGGGAAGCCCGAGAGAAAUUAUUGGCAAAGUACGAGAUUAUUUGAAUAAGAAUUCGAAGAUAGGCAUAUGAAAAGGAUAAGAAGCGAUCAUAUGGAGCAAAACAGGAAUGUUUUUGCUGAGCCCAAGAGAGCAUGCCUUCAGAUUAGAUUGUGCCAGGAGUGAUUCGCUCUACUACCCGUAAGCUGUAUACCCUGUUUCUUCAUUUGUAAGAGUUAUUUUUGUAUACAGUAAAAAUCGGAUAUGCGUUAAACCGGUGAGAUUAGGAACCGAAGGAAGAAGGGGACAAGAACAUGCACGAGGACUUUCAUUCUGAACCGGAGGAACGCUUGGACCGAAGCCAAGGAAGGGCAUCAUUUGACCCGGUUUCUUCAUGGCCGAGUUGGUCGUUGCCGUUGGUCCGUUUGGCCGUUAGUCUGUUUAUUCGUGGCCGUUGGUCCGGGAGAUCCGUUGCGCGAUUGCCAUGCGUCAAUUACGUCCUGCCAUGUUCAACUGCAAUCAUACGGGUGUCAGACCGUACGGCCAACCUAACCCAACCUAAUCCAAGUCAGAGUUUUUCUUUAUUUUUAGUUUUCUCUUAUUGUAUGGAGCCUAUGAGGCAACACUAUAAAUAAGGGUCAUUGCCCACUUUUAAGGGGUUGGCUCCCUCAUAUUAAGAACUCUUGUAAUAACAAAAAUUAUAUAAAAUUUCUCUCUCAAAUAUCAGAUUUCGGUCCA